This 301-nucleotide ribosomal RNA is filed under the name uncultured bacterium. RNAcentral's name for it is "partial 16S ribosomal RNA". It matches the Rfam family "Bacterial small subunit ribosomal RNA", at positions 509 to 807 of the family's 1533-position model. The record is from RNAcentral.
CAGCAGCCGCGGUAAUACGUAGGUGGCAAGCGUUGUCCGGAAUUAUUGGGCGUAAGGGGCUCGCAGGCGGUUUCUUAAGUCUGAUGUGAAAGCCCCCGACUCAACCGGGGAGGGUCAUUGGAAACUGGGAAACUUGAGUGCAGAAGAGGAGAGUGGAAUUCCACGUGUAGCGGUGAAAUGCGUAGAGAUGUGGAGGAACACCAGUGGCGAAGGCGACUCUCUGGUCUGUAACUGACGCUGAGGAGCGAAAGCGUGGGGAGCGAACAGGAUUAGAUACCCCAGUAGUCCCUGUCUCUUAUAC